GAUGAACGCUAGCUACAGGCUUAACACAUGCAAGUCGAGGGGAAACGAUAGAGAAAGCUUGCUUUUUCUAGGCGUCGACCGGCGCACGGGUGAGUAACGCGUAUCCAACCUGCCCAUCACUUGGGGAUAACCUUGCGAAAGUAAGACUAAUACCCAAUGACGUCUCUAGAAGACAUCUGAAGGAGAUUAAAGAUUUAUCGGUGUACGAUGGGGAUGCGUUCCAUUAGGUAGUAGGCGGGGUAACGGCCCACCUAGCCUACGAUGGAUAGGGGUUCUGAGAGGAAGGCCCCCCACAUUGGAACUGAGACACGGUCCAAACUCCUACGGGAGGCAGCAGUGAGGAAUAUUGGUCAAUGGACGAGAGUCUGAACCAGCCAAGUAGCGUGCAGGAUGACGGCCCUAUGGGUUGUAAACUGCUUUUAUAAGGGAAUAAAGUGAGUCUCGUGAGACUUUUUGCAUGUACCUUAUGAAUAAGGACCGGCUAAUUCCGUG
RNAcentral lists this ribosomal RNA (492 nucleotides) under uncultured bacterium. RNAcentral's name for it is "bacterial SSU rRNA". It matches the Rfam family "Bacterial small subunit ribosomal RNA", at positions 28 to 507 of the family's 1533-position model. The record is from RNAcentral.